This 449-nucleotide ribosomal RNA is filed under the name uncultured bacterium. RNAcentral describes it as "partial 16S ribosomal RNA". It matches the Rfam family "Bacterial small subunit ribosomal RNA", at positions 354 to 795 of the family's 1533-position model. The record is from RNAcentral.
GUGGGGAAUAUUGGACAAUGGGCGAAAGCCUGAUCCAGCCAUGCCGCGUGUGUGAAGAAGGUCUUCGGAUUGUAAAGCACUUUAAGUUGGGAGGAAGGGUAGUAACCUAAUACGUUGCUACUUUGACGUUACCGACAGAAUAAGCACCGGCUAACUUCGUGCCAGCAGCCGCGGUAAUACGAAGGGUGCAAGCGUUAAUCGGAAUUACUGGGCGUAAAGCGCGCGUAGGUGGUUCGUUAAGUUGGAUGUGAAAGCCCCGGGCUCAACCUGGGAACUGCAUCCAAAACUGGCGAGCUAGAGUACGGUAGAGGGUGGUGGAAUUUCCUGUGUAGCGGUGAAAUGCGUAGAUAUAGGAAGGAACACCAGUGGCGAAGGCGACCACCUGGACUGAUACUGACACUGAGGUGCGAAAGCGUGGGGAGCAAACAGGAUUAGAAACCCGUGUAGUC